UGGGGAAUUUUGCGCAAUGGGGGAAACCCUGACGCAGCAACGCCGCGUGAGUGAUGAAGGCCUUCGGGUCGUAAAGCUCUGUCAGAGGGGAAGAAAUGCAGGGGUGCUAAUAUCAUCUUUGCUUGACGGUACCCUCAAAGGAAGCACCGGCUAACUCCGUGCCAGCAGCCGCGGUAAUACGGAGGGUGCAAGCGUUGUUCGGAAUUAUUGGGCGUAAAGCGCGUGUAGGCGGUUUGGUAAGUCUGAUGUGAAAGCCCCGGGCUCAACCUUGGAAAUGGAAUGGGAACUGUCAGACUUGAAUACGGGAGAGGGUAGUGGAAUUCCUAGUGUAGGAGUGAAAUCCGUAGAUAUUAGGAGGAACACCGGUGGCGUAGGCGGCUACCUGGACCGAUAUUGACGCUGAGACGCGAAAGCGUGGGGAGCAAACAG
This 429-nucleotide ribosomal RNA is filed under the name uncultured bacterium. RNAcentral's name for it is "bacterial SSU rRNA". It matches the Rfam family "Bacterial small subunit ribosomal RNA", at positions 355 to 775 of the family's 1533-position model. The record is from RNAcentral.